AAAAACAAACCAAACAAUAUCGGCCCCACACACUUGUUAACGGUAUUAUGUAUAUUAUUUUACGGCCCCGAUAAUUUUUUUGGCAAUGCGACUUCUGCGGGCGCGUCGAAUUCGCUCGGAAUAUUCAAAACAAAUGGCACAAGUAGUCGACGGACGAACGGAGAAGAAAAGGCGACGAAUGUGCGUGGAAGACGACGGUGAUAAACGAGAGAACGCGACUUCAGCUGCGGCAGAGCAUGCAGUGUGACUGUGCGAACGAAAUACCAGCGCACUAGGAUCCCCAAAAACCCGAUGCGUGGAAAACUUUACUAGCGAUAGCAGUGUUCCAAACCUUUUCACCAAGCCAAUCUUAUUUUAAAACUUUAUCAAAACAUUUGAACGAAGCUAUAUGGAAGUUCAAAAAAAAAAUGGAAGUAUUCAGUUUCUUUUUGGAACGCAUCAUACAAAAUUUUUUCUCCUGUACCUAUUACCUAUACCACUUGCCUACACUUUUAUUUCAUUUCUACAAGCACUCAAAUAUGAAGUUCUUUCUUUAAGGAACGUUUGAUCUUUUCUACAUAUUACUACAUUUACAUAUGAAUGAAAGACAAUAAAAUGUUAUUGUAUUCUGAGAAACACACUUCUCUUAUUUUC
Drosophila melanogaster (fruit fly) is the source of this 633-nucleotide non-coding RNA. The record is from Ensembl. NCBI's taxonomy places the organism in Eukaryota, Metazoa, Arthropoda, Insecta, Diptera, Drosophilidae.